GACGAACGCUGGCGGCGUGCCUAAUACAUGCAAGUUGAGCGAUGAAGCUUGGUUCUUGCGCCAAUUUGAAGAGCAGCGAACGGGUGAGUAACGCGUGGGGAAUCUGCCUUUGAGCGGGGGACAACAUUUGGAAACGAAUGCUAAUACCGCAUAACAACUUUAAACAUAAGUUUUAAGUUUGAAAGAUGCAAUUGCAUCACUCAAAGAUGAUCCCGCGUUGUAUUAGCGAAUUGGUGAGGUAAAGGCUCACCCAGGCGAUGAUACAUAGCCGACCGGAGAGGGGGGUCGGCCACAUGGGGACGGAGACCGGGCCCAAACGCCUACGGGAGGCAGCAGUAGGGAACCGUCGGCAAUGGACGAGAGUCUGGCCGAACGAGGCCGAGUGAGUGAAGAAGGUUUUCGGAUCGUAAAAAUCGGUUGGUAGAGAAGAACGGUGGUGGGAGUGGAAAGCGCAUCAAGUGACGGUAACUACUCAGAAAGGGACGGCUAACUACGUG
This 497-nucleotide ribosomal RNA is filed under the name uncultured bacterium. Its description in RNAcentral is "partial 16S ribosomal RNA". It matches the Rfam family "Bacterial small subunit ribosomal RNA", at positions 28 to 507 of the family's 1533-position model. The record is from RNAcentral.